This 6926-nucleotide long non-coding RNA is filed under the name Canis lupus familiaris (dog). Its description in RNAcentral is "lncRNA (ENSCAFG00845009187.1)". The record is from RNAcentral. Lineage: Eukaryota; Metazoa; Chordata; Mammalia; Carnivora; Canidae.
UUUUUUUUUUUUUUUUUUUUUAUGAUAGUCACAGAGAGAGAGAGAGAGAGAGGCAGAGACACAGGCAGAGGGAGAAGCAGGCUCCAUGCACCGGGAGCUCGAUGUGGGUUUCGAUCCUGGGUCUCCAGGAUCGCGCCCUGGGCCAAAGGCAGGUGCUAAACCGCUGCGCCACCCAGGGAUCCCCCGGAAUGUGUGACUCUUAAUCUGGGAGUUUUGUUUUGUUUUGGUCUUAGAUUUUAUUUUUAUUUAUUUAUUUAUUUAUUUAUUUGAGACACACACAGAGGCAUGGGGCUCCAUGGGGAGCCCGGUGUGGGACUCGAUCCCAGGACCCCGGGAUCACACCCUGAGCCGAAGGCAGACGCUCCACUGCUGAGCCACCUAGGCGUCCCUUGAUCUGGGAGUUGAGUUCAGGCCCCAGGUUGGAUGUGGAGAUGACUUCAAAUGAAAUAUUUUUUAAAAAAAGAAUUAGGUUUUGAGAGCCCUAUUUUAGGAAGGAAGGUCAGGGAAGGCCUCUCUCUCAAGCUGACUUAGAGCUCAGAUCUGGAAUUUGAGAUGGAAUGAGUCAUGCAAAGCAAGGAGGGGGUUCCAGGUGGCGUAAGGAGUUCUCAUUUGAGGUCCUCAAAGGCAGCAGGAGCAUGCUGAGUAAGGGGCUGGUGAACUGAGAUAAGCUUAGGGAGUGUGGUUAACAAUAAGCACCUAUUAUGGGACAGCGCUGUUCCGCUUGCCAUCCACACAUCGUCCCAGUUGAUCCCCACCGGUCUUAAGAAGUAAAUAACAGGGCAGCCCUGGUGGCACAGCGGUUUAGAGCCGCCUGCAGCCCGGGGUGUGAUCCUGGAGACCCGGGAUUGAGUCCCACAUUGGGCUCCCUGCAUGGAGCCUGCUUCUCCCUCUGCCUUUGACUCUGCCUCUGUCUCUCUCUAUGAAUAAAUAAAUAAAAUCUUAAAAACAAAAAAGAAGUAAAUAAGUCUCCGCUUUUGAAUUUAUAGAUGAGAAAAUUGAGGCACAGAGGGAAUACAUACUUUGUCCCAAGUCCUGUAGAUAGUAGGGAGCGAAACUAGGAUUGAAACCCAUGCAUUUCAGUUUCAGCACCCAGACUCGACACUCAUCGGGUGCCCUACGCUGCCCUCUAGGCAUGGCCAAGGACUUUGUGGUUUUAUUCUAAGUGCAGGGAGACCUCGCCAGCUUUUAAACAGGAGCUCUGAGCGAUCCCUCUUAUGUUUUACAAGAUUGUGCUAAAUGGAUAACAGAUUAUAGGAGGGCAAGAGGAGAGGGGCAAGCUGGGAGGCAAGUGCAGCGGUCCAGGCAAGCAAUGACGGUGGCUUACACGAGGUGGGGCGAGUGGAGACGGGGGAGAAGAAGGAACUGAUACAGAAGUGACAGGACUGGGGACAGGUCACGUGGGGAUCCCGGAGGUGCUGUUUAGAAGGAGACGGUGCUGCCCCAGGAGGGGGUGGGGGACAAGGCCCAGGCCCUCUGGGAACUCCUGCAUUUGGAGGUUGGAUCUGGGAAGAUGAAAGAGGUGGAGGGAGGGAGACAGCCAGAGAUCUGCAAUGAUGAUGAUGAUGAUGAUGAUGAUCAUCAUCAUCAUCAUCAUCAUCGAGGUGAGCCGUGAGCCGACAAGGAAGGAAAAAAUUACAAAACAAAAGCAGCCUAGGGCUGCCCUCAUAAUGUCCUCUGAAAAAGAAAGAGAGCCCUCCUUCCUGCCUCCUUACACCCGGGUAGGAAUUGGCAGGGGAGGAAUUGGCCGGGACCCAGAGACGGUUGGGUCUGAGCGCAGGCCCAGGGUGGCGGUAGCCAAUCUGCUUGGGUGAGUCCCUACACCAGUCUGCUCUAGAAAGCAGUACACCCCGAAAUAGAACCCGUGUCUCCACACUUUCUCUGUCAGUCCUCAGUCUCUGGUGGGGCUCACGGGGAUUCACAGAGGUGUGGACCCGGAGUCAGCUCUGGGAGAGAGACCGUACCCUGUGAGUGGGUGCAUGGGGUUCAGGCAUUAUUAGUCAUGUUCCCGUUGUCAUUUCCUGUGGGUUUUUUUUUUUUCUUCUCUUUCCCUGCCCUGGCCCCUGAUUUUACCUGCUUCUCUUUCUCCUUUAUCUUUCACCUGGAAAGCAUUAUGAUGUCAGCAUUUUGUCUUCAUAAUCCCAUGAUAAGCAUGUCAUCGUUACUUAAUAUGGUGAUGAAAAUGUUCUCUUUUAUAUCCCUUUUGGGUGCUGAGAGUUGCUGCCAUAGAUGUUUAAGAGGUUCUUGUCUCUAGUGCGAAGAAAGGCAAGAUCGGUUUUCACCCUGAGGCCUAACCCUGUACAGGAAACACAGUUCCACGCAGAGUGCUCUCCAGCUUCUAGCCUGACAGCCCAGGCAUGGGGGUGACCAAGAGCCACUGGGGAAGCUCUACCAUUUAAAAAAAGAAAACAACCGAACCUGUCAUUUUUUUCAUUAAAAAAGUAUAUUUUACUGUAGAACUGGGCUUCUCAAACUUUAACGAGCCUAUGAAUUCACUACCUGGGGAUCUUGCUAAAAGGCAGCUUCUGAAUUAGGAGGUCUGGUGGGGAUGGAGAUGCCACCUUUCUAUCAUGAGGCUGGGGGCUGGCAAACGGACCUCAUUGGAGUAUCAAGGAUUUGUCAAAUAACCAAAAAAUAGGAAAACGCAAAUGUACUGUGAUUGUGUCUCCCCGGAUGAGACCUGCUUCCCAUCUGUGCCCCUGUGCUGAAAUCAGGGUCACCAGCUCCCUCCCCAGCAUCGCCAAGAGAACCUGGAGAGGGAACAGAGCAAGAGGAGGCCAGGAGCCCCCCCACCCCCCCCACCCCGUUGGGGAGGCAGAAGGCUGUGGCGGGGAGAGGUGGCCGGGAAGGAGUCUAGGACUAAGGCUUGGCCUCUUCACCAGCUCAGUCAGAUGCUGGCAUCCCCAGGUUCAAGAGGAAAGUCAGUGGAGAGCAAGACACCCACGUAAACAGGUGGGACUGACCAGACGCAGGGACGCAGGGACUCAGUUUCCCACCUCCUCUCCUAGUCCCUGAGAGGCUGGAGGACUAGCUUCUCAGGGACGCCUUGCCACGUCCUACGACUGUCAGCACCCAGGCAGCGUGGGUGGGGGUUGGGGAGAGCCUUGACCUUGACUCAGGAGUGAGAAACACUGGUUCUCGGGGCCCAAGAUGGUCCACACUAGGGCACAGGUGCCCUUGCUUAUCCCUCACCCCCCACACACACCCACUUGAAACCCCUACAAAAAUGAGAAACCGCUCCAAAGAGUCAAGUGGAGAGAUUAGAAUGAAACGUAGAGCCAGGAAGGAGAGAAUCGUGAGACCAAGGGGAAAACGAGACAGCUGAGAGCAGAAUGGCGGAACAUGAAAGAUCCGCUUGCCACGGUGCCGUGGAAGGAAAAAGGGAAGGAUGAAGAUCCGGCAAAUGUAGAAGAAAAUGAGGGUAAUCCGGGAGGACAGAAAUAGUAGACUUGGGAAAUGGGAGGCUUCUGAAGAAAAAAAUCUGGAGAGGAGUGAUGUUUGAAGAAUCCUCAGGGAUGAUUUUUGCAGAGUUAGAGAUGCGGGCCCACUGAGGCCAAAGGGGAGAGAAGCAACACGGGACACCUGGGCAUAUUCCACUAAAUUCUGGAACAUCAAACACAAGGAGAAGUUCCUAAACACUUUCAGAGAGCACCGUGCGCAGGCAAAGCAAGCAGGGUGGAGGGUCCUUACACACGAGGGUGCCUGCGUGCACGCUCACGCUGCCUCCAGGAGCCCCCCUCCUUACACACCUGCUACUCCUUUGUCACAGUCACUCUGAAGGCCAGCCCCCUGGGAAGGGUUGGCCCUCCCGGCCUUGACCGUGUGGGGCCUGGGUCCAGGGAUGUCAGGCUCUCAGGCAGGGGCCCCGCUGGUGGCUUCCCACGGCCUGCAGCCGUCCUCAGAGCUGCCCCUGGCAACCGGCACCCAACAGGGAGGAGGGAGCCCCCUGGGAGAGCCCCAGCCACUGGCGGUCCCGGGGUACACCUUUGUCCCUCCCCGGCAUCCCAGCCACUGCUCACGGGGGCAGGGGCGGGGGGGAAGGAACACUGAAUGAGUAAGGCCUUCCCGCCGCCUAUGGGAGGUCACAGUCCUUCAGAGAUGGGACAAGCUGACAGCAAACCAAUGGCUAAGAGCAAACCAUCAGACAGAAAGAGUUGAGCGUUUGCAUGGUGGGCGAACCAGGAAGGGAAGAGCUGCCACAGCGCUUCAGGGCCCGGGGCACCCUCAGCUUCUCACGCGGCCUUGUGCGUUCCUCAGAAGGGACGUCUCCCUAUCACACCUGUACGUCCGGCACCAUCCUGGGCUCUGGAAAUGCCUUGCAAAGCCAGGUCGUCAGUGCCCCUGUCCCUUGGAGCCCACCUUCCAGCGGAGCCAAAGAAGUGAACACACAAGCAACCCGGUGAGGUCACGACAGGCUGUAUCCACAGGCCAGGGAGCGGCCUCAGCAGAGGGCGGGGGUGGGGGGGGGGUGGCCCGGAGGUGCCCUGGGAGCUGGUGGGUGAGAAUAAGCCAGGGGAAGAGGCUGCACAGGACGGCGGGGCCACCAUCUGGGGAGAAUGAGCACACCAUGGCUUGGCAAACAGCUAGGAAACAGUGAGGCAGGGAAAUGAGGAAAGACACCCCCUUAUGUAAAUGAUGGUGGAUUCGGGAUGAUCGAAGACCAAGGGGGUUCUGGAGGGAGAGCCCCGCUGACACAGAAGGGAGGCUGCAGAGGCUGGCGGGAGCCCAAUCCGAAAGGACCCGUGAGGCCGCGUAAGGACGCGGGUUUUAUCCUAAGCGCCGCGUGAGCCAUCGAAGGACUUUAUGUUUUUAGGUUUACAUUCCACUCUCCAUUCAGGCAGUCACUUGGAAAGCUGUGAGUGGCGACAGGACUGUAUGACAGUCUGAUUGACCAAACAAGCAGCAGCUACAAGGAUUCGUCUGCCACCUGCAGCAGUAACGGCCGCGGAGGUGCAGAGGCGGGAACUGGAAGCGCUCGGUGACCCCCAGGCUCCAGGGGAGCAGGCAGCGCUUCACCCAGUGUAGGGUGGGGGCCCGUACCCAGAAGAGGACGGGUUCCGGGGUACCUGUCCUCUCGGGCCGAUGCUCCAACGUGGUGGCAAGACAGAGAGUCCAUCCAAGGGCGACUCAUUCGGGGCAGGUUCAACCAGGGCGACGUGAUGCCGCUGACCCAGAGGGUGGAGUUGGGGGGACCAGCCCCACAGCCUUGUGCCGCCUACCUGUGGCAUGACACAUCCCAAGGGGCACUUAUUUCCAAGGCUGCUGGCCGGGCCACUUGCUCUGCCUUUAGGCUUCCAGACACUCCUCAGUGAACCUAUAAAGAAAAACUUGGGGCAGCCCGGGUGGCUCCGCGGUUUAGCGCCUGCCUUGGGCCCAGAGCACGAUCCUGGAGUCCCGGGAUCGAGUCCCACGUCGGGCUCCCUGCAUGGAGCCUGCUUCUCCCUCUGCCUGUAUCUCUGCCUCUCUCUCUCUCUCUGUCUCAUGAAUAAAUAAAUUUUUUAAAAAAAGAAAAACUUGGCCGACAAAAGGGAUUCUUUGCUGUUGUAAAACUAUUCAUCCCUUUGAGCCUUUUUUUAAAAAAUAGACUUCCAAUUAGAAAACGUCAAAACACACAAAGGUUAUUAGCAAAUUUAUUUCAGAAACCAGCAUUUUAGCAUGUCCUGCCGACACACUGGAGGCCGUGUGCCCCCUUCUGGUGUGUCUGUCAGAUGCCUGAGUUGCUCGUGAUCAAGAACCCAAAGAUGAGCUCCUAGCACAGCCUCGGCUGCACCUGGCACCUGUGGGCGGCCCGGCCCGAGUCACACCUGCCCUGGCUUCCACUGAGCAGCUGUGUGCCUGUUUCCACCUGCGAGAGACCUCACAGUGGAAAUGCCAAGGCAACGAAGAGGAUAAAGAGGCCUUGGGUUCACUCUGACAAGUGAAUCUGAGAAGUGCCAGGCGGGGAAAGCCAGAGGAGAGGCCGCCAGAAGUCGGUGUGUGUGUGUGGGGGGGUCCCGGUCCCCACCCCUGCCCAGAGCCUGGCAGGAAGUCAAGCCUGGGGACCCACAGCUGUCGGUCUGGCCUCCCCUGGAGCAAACCAACCCCCCCUGCAGUGCGAUUCAGAGCCCCGUGUCCAGUUAGACUCGGGGAGACUCGGGUAAGAUCCAGAGAGUGGAGCCUCACUUGCUCUCCACUCCCACGGGCACAGGGAGCCUUGUGCUUCUGUCAACCAUGUCAGCACAGGAAUUCUAAAGAUCGGGGUGAGUCAUGGUUAAGACCGUCCAUAAAUAUUUAAUGUUCUCGGCAAAACUGGUGGCUAUGUGUACUUUUCUGGGUGGGGGGGAGAUCAAUGUAGCAGAUUCCCAAAGUGGUCCAGGAUCCAAAAUACCACGAACCGUGGAAAGGAGUGUCCUAGACUGCUUGGGCCGCUCUAAUAAAAAUACCAUAGAUGGGGGGGGGGGGGGGCGGCCUGAACAUUUCUUUCUCACAGUCCUGGAGGCUGGGAGGUCUAAGAUAGGGGCAUUGGCAGGUUUGGUGUCUGGUGAUGGUCGACUUAGUGGCUCACAGAUGGCCCUCUUCUGGCUGCGCCCCCACAUGGCAAAAGGGACAAGGGAGCUCUGCGGAGGGGGGUGCGGGGGGUUUAUAAGGGCACUAAUCCCAUUCACUGUUAUGACCCACUCAUUUCCCAAAGACCCCACCUCCUAAUACCAUCACACUGGGGGUUAGGACUUCAACAUAUGAAUUUUCUUUUUCUUUUUCUUUUUUUUUUAAAGAUUUUAUUUAUUUAUUUGAGAGAGUGAGUGACCACAAGCUGGAGGAGGGGCAAAGGGACAAGCAGACUCUCCGCUGAGCAGGGAGUCGGACACGGGGCUGGGUCCCAGAGUCCUGGGAUUGAGCCCGAGCCCCGUGUCCUUGUCGUCAGGCUCCUUGCUUCUCCCUCUCUCUCUGCC